Molecule: ribosomal RNA, 455 nt
Filed under: uncultured bacterium
Lineage: Bacteria
Description: bacterial SSU rRNA
Rfam family: Bacterial small subunit ribosomal RNA
Source: RNAcentral
GAUGAACGCUGGCGGCGUGCUUAACACAUGCAAGUCGAACGAUUGAAGCUGGAGCUUGCUCCGGCCGAUUUAGUGGCGGACGGGUGAGUAACGCGUGGGUAACCUGCCUCAUACAGGGGGAUAGCAGUUGGAAACGACUGGUAAAACCGCAUAAGCGCACGGUGUCGCAUGACACAGUGUGAAAACACUCCGGUGGUAUGAGAUGGACCCGCGUCUGAUUAGCUAGUUGGUGAGGUAACGGCCCACCAAGGCGACGAUCAGUAGCCGGCCUGAGAGGGUGAACGGCCACAUUGGGACUGAGACACGGCCCAAACUCCUACGGGAGGCAGCAGUGGGGAAUAUUGCACAAUGGGGGAAACCCUGAUGCAGCGACGCCGCGUGAGUGAUGAAGUAUUUCGGUAUGUAAAGCUCUAUCAGCAGGGAAGAUAAUGACGGUACCUGACUAAGAAGCACCG